CCUACGGGUGGCAGCAGUGGGGAAUAUUGGACAAUGGUGGGAACCCUGAUCCAGCGACGCCGCGUGAGUGAAGAAGUAUCUCGGUAUGUUAAGCUCUAUCAGCAGGGAAGAAAAUGACGGUACGUGACUAAGAAGCCCCGGCUAACUACGUGACAGGAGGCGCGGUAAUACGUCGGGGGCAGGCGUAAUCCGGAUUUACUGGGUGUAAAGGGGGCGUAGGCGGUGCAGCAAGUCUGAUGUGAAAGGUCGGGGCCCAACCCCGGGACUGCAUUGGAAACUGUUGAACUGGAGUACGGGAGAGGUAAGCGGAAUUCCUGGUGUAGCGGUGAAAUGCGUAGAUAUUAGGAAGAACACCAGUGGCGAAGGCGGCAUACUGGACUGUAACUGACGUUGAGGCUCGAAAGCGUGGGGAGCGAACAGGAUUAGAUACCCCUGUAGUC
RNAcentral lists this ribosomal RNA (440 nucleotides) under uncultured bacterium. RNAcentral's name for it is "partial 16S ribosomal RNA". It matches the Rfam family "Bacterial small subunit ribosomal RNA", at positions 338 to 795 of the family's 1533-position model. The record is from RNAcentral.